RNAcentral lists this ribosomal RNA (512 nucleotides) under uncultured bacterium. RNAcentral's name for it is "bacterial SSU rRNA". It matches the Rfam family "Bacterial small subunit ribosomal RNA", at positions 265 to 769 of the family's 1533-position model. The record is from RNAcentral.
UCACCAAGGCGACGAUCAGUAGCGGGUCUGAGAGGAUGAUCCGCCACGACUGGGACUGAGACACGGCCAGACUCCUACGGGAGGCAGCAGUGGGGAAUUUGGACAAGUGGGGGAAACCCUGAUCCAGCCAUGCCGCGUGCGGGAAGAAGGCCUUCGGGUUGUAAACCGCUUUCGGACAGAAAGAAAUCGCAUGGAUUAAUACUCUGUGUGGAUGACGGUACUGUAAGAAGAAGCACCGGCUAACUACGUGCCAGCAGCCGCGGUUACGUAGGGUGCGAGCGUUAAUCGGAAUUACUGGGCGUAAAGCGUGCGCAGGCGGAUAGUUUAAGUCAGACGUGAAAUCCCCGGGCUUAACCUGGGGAAUGGCGUUUGAAACUGGAUGUCUAGAGUGUGGCAGAGGGGGGUGGAAUUCCACGUGUAGCAGUGAAAUGCGUAGAGAUGUGGAGGAACACCGAUGGCGAAGGCAGCCCCCUGGGCUAACACUGACGCUCAUGCACGAAAGCGUGGGGAGC